Molecule: non-coding RNA, 202 nt
Organism: Pelobates cultripes (western spadefoot toad)
Lineage: Eukaryota; Metazoa; Chordata; Amphibia; Anura; Pelobatidae
Source: the annotation of a GenBank genome assembly
CCUGGAUUGUUUAUAGCACAAAUCAUGCAAGCUUGGGUGUGUUUAGCUGCUACAACAGUAAAUCCGGGUGCUACCCAAUAGGUAUUUACUUAUGCUGUUCAUGUGCAUCUUAGAUAGAUGUGUAGGUCCAUGGGCAAUCUGGGCCAUCAUGGGGUACAAUACUUGUGGCAAACACAGCCUUUUACAUUUCCUCCACAUUCUG